AGGUCAUUGCAUACUGAAUACAUAGGUAUGCAAAGCGAACGCGGCGAACUGAAACAUCUAAGUAGCUGCAGGAAAAUAAAUCAACCGAGAUUCCCAAAGUAGUGGCGAGCGAAAUGGGAUGAGCCUGCACGUUUUAGCAUGACGCAUAGUAGAACGGAUUGGAAACUCCGGCCAUAGAGGGUGAUAGCCCCUUAUACGAAAUGCGAUGUGUGGAACUAAGCGUGCGACAAGUAGGGCGGGACACGAGAAAUCCUGUCUGAAUAUGGGGGGACCAUCCUCCAAGGCUAAAUACUCGUAAUCGACCGAUAGUGAACCAGUACCGUGAGGGAAAGGCGAAAAGAACCCCGGAAGGGGAGUGAAAUAGAUCCUGAAACCGUGUGCAUACAAACAGUAGGAGCGGACUUGUUCCGUGACUGCGUACCUUUUGUAUAAUGGGUCAGCGACUUACAUUCAGUGGCAAGGUUAACCGUAUAGGGAAGCCGUAGAGAAAUCGAGUCCGAAUAGGGCGACAGUCGCUGGGUGUAGACCCGAAACCAAGUGAUCUACUCAUGGCCAGGAUGAAGGUGCGGUAACACGCCCUGGAGGUCCGAACCCACUAAUGUUGAAAAAUUAGGGGAUGAGCUGUGGGUAGGGGUGAAAGGCUAAACAAACUUGGAAAUAGCUGGUUCUCUCCGAAAACUAUUUAGGUAGUGCCUCAAGUAUCACCAUCGGGGGUAGAGCACUGUUAUGGCUAGGGGUUCAUUGCGAAUUACCAAACCAUUGCAAACUCCGAAUACCGAUGAGUGCGAGCUUGGGAGACAGACGUCGGGUGCUAACGUCCGGCGUCAAGAGGGAAACAACCCAGACCGCCAGCUAAGGUCCCAAAGAUUGGCUAAGUGGAAAACGAAGUGGGAAGGCUAAAACAGUCAGGAUGUUGGCUUAGAAGCAGCCAUCAUUUAAAGAAAGCGUAAUAGCUCACUGAUCGAGUCGUCCUGCGCGGAAGAUGUAACGGGGCUAAGCCAGUCACCGAAGCUGCGGAUAU
This 1021-nucleotide ribosomal RNA is filed under the name Massilia rubra. RNAcentral describes it as "partial 23S ribosomal RNA". It matches the Rfam family "Bacterial large subunit ribosomal RNA", at positions 145 to 1209 of the family's 2925-position model. The record is from RNAcentral. Lineage: Bacteria; Pseudomonadati; Pseudomonadota; Betaproteobacteria; Burkholderiales; Oxalobacteraceae.